This 497-nucleotide ribosomal RNA is filed under the name uncultured bacterium. Its description in RNAcentral is "partial 16S ribosomal RNA". It matches the Rfam family "Bacterial small subunit ribosomal RNA", at positions 28 to 507 of the family's 1533-position model. The record is from RNAcentral.
GAUGAACGCUGGCGGCGUGCCUAAUACAUGCAAGUCGAGCGAACAGACGAGGAGCUUGCUCCUCUGACGUUAGCGGCGGACGGGUGAGUAACACGUGGAUAACCUACCUAUAAGACUGGGAUAACUUCGGGAAACCGGAGCUAAUACCGGAUAAUAUAUUGAACCGCAUUGUUCAAUAGUGAAAUACGGUUUUUCUGUCACUUAUAGAUGGAUCCUCGCCGCAUUAGCUUGUUGGUAAGGUAACGGCUUACCAAGGCAAGGAUGCGAAGCCGACCUGACAGGGUGAUCGGCCACACUGGAACGGAAACACGGUCCAGACUCCUACGGGAGGCAGCAGUAGGGAAUCUUCCGCAAUGGGCGAAAGCCUGACGGAGCAACGCCGCGUGGGUGAUGAAAGUCUUCGGAUCGUAAAACUCUGUUAUUAGGGAAGAACAAAUGUGUAAGUAACUAUGCACGUCUUGACGGUACCUAAUCAGAAAGCCACGGCUAACUACGUG